This 483-nucleotide ribosomal RNA is filed under the name uncultured Corynebacterium sp. RNAcentral's name for it is "bacterial SSU rRNA". It matches the Rfam family "Bacterial small subunit ribosomal RNA", at positions 8 to 507 of the family's 1533-position model. The record is from RNAcentral. Lineage: Bacteria; Bacillati; Actinomycetota; Actinomycetes; Mycobacteriales; Corynebacteriaceae.
AGAGUUUGAUCCUGGCUCAGGAUGAACGCUGGCGGCGUGCUUAACACAUGCAAGUCGACGGAAAGGCUCCUGCUUGCAGGGGUACUCGAGUGGCGAACGGGUGAGUAACACGUGGGUGAUCUGCCCUGCACUUCGGGAUAAGCCUGGGAAACUGGGUCUAAUACCGGAUAGGACGAUGGUUUGGAUGCCAUUGUGGAAAGUUUUUCGGUGUGGGAUGAGCUCGCGGCCUAUCAGCUUGUUGUGGGGUAAUGGCCUACCAAGGCGUCGACGGGUAGCCGGCCUGAGAGGGUGUACGGCCACAUUGGGACUGAGAUACGGCCCAGACUCCUACGGGAGGCAGCAGUGGGGAAUAUUGCACAAUGGGCGCAAGCCUGAUGCAGCGACGCCGCGUGGGGGAUGACGGCCUUCGGGUUGUAAACUCCUUUCGCUAGGGACGAAGCGCAAGUGACGGUACCUGGAGAAGGAGCACCGGCUAACUACGUG